AGAGUUUGAUCAUGGCUCAGAUUGAACGCUGGCGGCAUGGCUAAAACAUGCAAGUCGAACGCGAAAGUUCCUUCGGGAGCAAGUAGAGUGGCGUAAGGGCGAGGAAUACGUUUCUACGUACCCCAAGGUCGAGGAUAGCUCGGAGAAAUCCGGGGUAAUACUCGAUGUGGUGCUUCGGCAUCAAAGGCUUGUCUGCCUUGGGAGCGGGGAACGUCCUAUCAGGUUGUUGGCGAGGUAAUGGCUCACCAAGCCAAAGACGGGUAGCGGGUGUGGGAGCAUGACCCGCCGCAUCGGGACUGAGACACUGCCCGGACUCCUACGGGAGGCUGCAGUAACGAAUAUUCCGCAAUGCACGAAAGUGUGACGGGGCAAUGCCGCGUGUGGGAUGAAGCCCUUCGGGGUGUAAACCACUGUCAGGGUCUAGGAACACAAUGACCAGACUCAAAGGAAGGGCCGGCUAACUCUGUGCCAGCAGCCGCGGUAAUACAGAGGGCCCGAGCGUUAAUCGGAAUCACUGGGCUUAAAGAGUGCGUAGGCGGACGUAAAGGUAUUUUGUGAAA
Molecule: ribosomal RNA, 560 nt
Filed under: uncultured bacterium
Lineage: Bacteria
Description: bacterial SSU rRNA
Rfam family: Bacterial small subunit ribosomal RNA
Source: RNAcentral